This 477-nucleotide long non-coding RNA is filed under the name Homo sapiens (human). Its description in RNAcentral is "HSALNT0175996". The record is from RNAcentral. Lineage: Eukaryota; Metazoa; Chordata; Mammalia; Primates; Hominidae.
CAGACACAUCAAAAUCUCCUUUUACUUUGGGUCCUUUCAAAUCCAGGUCAACAUCAGGUAUGGAGAUCUUGGGAGCUUUGAUAUUUAUUUCAGGCAUCUUGAACUUGGGGCCCUUUAGUUUCGCAUCUGGACCUUCGAUAUUCACAUCAGGAACAUCAACGUCCACUUUGGGUCCUGAGACAUCAAUGUCAGCCUUGGGCAGGUUCACAUCCACAUCUGGGCCCUCUCCUUUGAAGCCAGGCAUGCUGAACUUGGGCAUUUUCACUUUGGGCAUUUUUAAGUGCCAGUCUGGGCCUUGAACGUCCACAUCUGGGACAUCAAUGUCCACUUUGGGGCCCUUGAUGUCAACUUCAGGGCCCUUGAGGUCGCCUUCCACUUUGGGCAGAGAAACGUCCACGUCGCCCUUCAUCUGGGACAUCAAUGUCCACUUUGGGGCCUUUGAGGUCAACUUCAGGACCUUUCAGAUCUCCCUCUACC